Molecule: ribosomal RNA, 497 nt
Filed under: uncultured bacterium
Lineage: Bacteria
Description: partial 16S ribosomal RNA
Rfam family: Bacterial small subunit ribosomal RNA
Source: RNAcentral
GGGGGGGGGGGGGGGGGGGGCUAGUGCAUGCGGGUCGAGCGGACAGACGAGGGGCUUGCUCCUCUGACGUUAGCGGCGGACGGGUGCGUCACCCGUGGAUAACCCACGUAUAAGCGUGGGAUCAUUUCGGGACACCGGAGCUCAUCCCGGAUGAUAUAUUGCACCGCAUGGUUCAAUAGUGAAAGACGGCUUUGCUGUCACUGAUGGAUGGAUCCGCGCCGCAUUAGCUAGUUGGUCUGGGAACGGCUUACCAAGGCGACGAUGCGUAGCCGACCUGAGAGGGUGAGCGGCCACACUGGAACGGAGACACGGUCCAGACUCCUACGGGAGGCAGCAGUAGGGAAUCUUCCGCAAUGGGCGAAAGCCUGACGGAGCAACGCCGCGUGAGUGAUGAAGGUCUUCGGAUCGUAAAACUCUGUUAGUAGGGAAGAACAAAUGUGUAAGUAACUAUGCACGUCUUGACGGUACCUAAUCAGAAAGCCACGGCUAACUACGUG